GACGGGCUUCCCCGCGGGACGGGCUUCCCCGCGGGACGGGCUGUCCCCGCCGCUGCCGCCUCCCCGCUGAGGGCGCGGGGGGGAGCAGAUGACCGUCGGCAUCACCCUGCCCCGGAGCGUGAGCGAAGCGGGCGAUCCCAGCUCCUCGGGGCGAGAGACCGGCGGAGGAUCUCGGGGCCUGAGGGCAGCCGGAGGCCCGUCAGAGGCGGUGACAGCCGGCAGGCUCGCGGCCCCACAGCUGUGAGGGGAACCGCGGGCCCCUGUGCACGAAGGCAGCCAGCUAAUCCCGGCCUGGCCAGCGCGAAGGGAUCUGGGGCAUCCCGAGCCGAUCCUGGCACCCUGAGGGGCCGAGGUCCCUGGGUCAUGAGGGGACGCGGGACUCCCAGUCCCCCAGCUGUGAGGGGAGCCACAGGAUCCCGGAUCCUGAGGGCAGCCUGAGCCCGCUGGAUGCUGAGAGUACUAAGGUACCCGGAGUGUGAGGGGAGGCUGGGGUCCUGAAGCCCUGAGAGGAGCAAGACUCCUGCGCCACUCCCAUUCUUUGUCAAGAGGUUGUGGACAUCCUCCCUGCUUCCCUCCGCUGCUGUCAGUGCUGUCCCUGGCCUUGCUGGAGUGUCUGUGGGGAGCUGUGGCCCCUCCAAAUAGAUGACAUACUCAUCCCCUACUUUUCUCCCCUUUAGAACAUCUCACCCAUAUGUAACUAACUGCCAGGGAGAAGUCUGAUUUUUCAGUCAGUGGUCAGCAAAGAGCUGAAUAAUCUCACGCUAAAUACUAACUAAACCCUCCUUCACAGCUGCUAAAAAGUGUUUCAAAAGCAGACUAGUGAAACAAGGUCUCUCUAAGCUUUGAAUGACUUUUCUGUGUAAAGUAGUCGGCACAUUUGCUAGAAGGGCAUUUCUUGUCCGUUGUGGGGAAAGCCUAUCUGUAAACAGGAAGGCAGGCAAGUCUGAAGGGGGGGGAAAUGUCUCCUCAAUUUGGAAGAUAUUCUGAGUACAUUUCCCAGAAAAAAGAUGUAAAGACUCUCUCAGGCAUAUUUUUAAUUCUCCUGCAAGAUCUGGAAACGUAGAUUAGCUGUUUUGAUAAACCAAAUUCCUUACUGCAGAAUAUUUCCAUAGUUAUGAAAAAAUGUAUUUCAGUCAGAUGUUCAGCAGCGAUCUGAGCAGAUCAAACUGGGGUUUUUUAAUUACAAUAUCCUAGUUUUGAGACCUGAGGAGAGUUUUAAAACUCCCCUGAGGCUAAUAUGCCACGGUUCUGUUGGCGACUUAGCCAAGACAGAUGGCAUACUGCCGCUUCCCUUGGAUUCUGCUGGGCAGCCAUCAUCCUGCUGAUACGGACUUGUUGGCUUACAGUCCAUGAGAAAUGCAUGCAAGACUUGUACAGAUUUCAAAUUCAGCUUCAGGACAAAAAAUGUGAACAUCCUAUCACACGGCUUUGUUGCCUUGUAAUUGGUGCAGUACAACCCCAUGCCUAUCAGGCUCCGUUUCAGCUGACAUACCCCUGUGUAUCUUAAGAGAAUCAGUUUUCCCCUUCUGUGUAAUUGUGACAGACGGCCAGAACUACACACUCUGAAGCAAUAUUUGUUUUUUAUGACUAUAGCAACAAUACCCACUGCAGAUUUACUCUGCCCCUGCUGAUGCAGCAGGUGAUGAUUUCUCUUUAUUCCAUGACUUAGUACUAGCCCAAUGGUAACAACAUGAAUCACUUGAGGGGCGAGGUAACACUAGGAAUGUUUUUUUAACUACCUUUUACAUUAAUUUAGCAAGAGGAGUCAAGAAACAAAGCUGGCAUACCAUGACCAACAACUGCCUGCGUAUAGCAAGAGUUUAAGAACCACUGAUUUAGUGUUUGGUAACGUAAAUUUUGUAUCAGAAAUCCUGUAUUCUAGUGGUGAAUUUGCUGCAGUCUGUGUGGUCUAAUGCAGAUUCCUCUUCUGAGUGCAGCCAUCUCCAUUUGUAAAACGGAUCAGUGGUGUUUAGUUUUCUAAACUGCUGCUGUGUGCAGCCUUAAAACUAAAAUGUUACAUAGUUGCCACAUGAAAAGACAUACUUCAUCUAUUUCUAAAAGGGCGAUUAUAUUGUGAAAUGUGAAUGGUGCACUAGAUAAUAGUUACAAUGCUCAUUAUGAUUUGUAAGAUAGAACAGUAAUUAUUUGUACAGCACUUUCUUGGUUGCAGAUUUCAAUCAGCCGCUUUGCAAAGAUGGAUAAGGCCAUUCAGACACCACUCUAUGACUGAAGAAGCCCAGCAAAGCUGGGGCCUGGAUUUUCAAAACUCCCUUCUAAUUUUUUGUCUUCAAGUUUGGGGCUUCAGUUUUGGGUGCUUAGUGGACAUUGCUGACAUCAAUUGGAGGUGUAGAUUCUUGAGUCUUGUUAAGAAAAACAAAAAAAUAUGUCUAAAUCAGAACCCUCUCAAAACAGAAAUAUAUAGACUUACAAGACCUGUCUUAAAUCUCAAAAUGAGUUGAUGACACUCACAGAGAUGCGUCUCCCGUCUCAUUCGUGGGUGCACGCUCAAUCCUCUCCAUCCGACUGUUCACAUCCAUCCUGAUGCCGAACUCCACAGUGACAGACACCGUGAACCACACUUCUCCUGCUUUAUGAUUCAUGGCCAAGGAAAAUAUUAUUUUACCUUUUCUGAGUGUUUAUAAAACCGCUUUGAAUUUAAGUGGGAUAGCACAUGGAACCAUCUGCUCCAUUUCCUCAAGGUCUUUUGGAGGAUAACUUCUACAGAACAGUAUUCCUCUACAUCCAUGCCACAAAUCCAUCCGUUAACUUUCUUAGAGCUUCUGGUUUUGCUCUACUGAAUUUCUCCAAGGUGUUUUACACCUCCUAGCCUCCAGAAAAGACUUGGAUGAUAUCGCUAGAAAUGUGACUUGGAUCAUUCUUUGAGAGACAGCUCAAUAACCAGCCCUUGUGAGAAAAAACACUGAAUCAAAGAACGAAAGGGAGGAGGCAUGGGGCCAGACUUAGAGUGAGAUUUAAGCAGCAAGCCCUCGUCCACCAGAGUUCAAGCUCUGACCCAAGCAGUCUUCCAUGGGAAUGAUUCCAUGGGUGAAGUACAACCAGACUAUCUGCUAAUUCUGCACAUACUUCUCAAGUCCCACUUGGAUUUUCUCACAGUGCUUCUGAAGGGUGUUUUUGUGGAAACUCACAAGUUGAGAUGUUUGACAACAGAGCUGCCAAUGGGACCAGAAGUUAUUACUAAACGAUCCACAGCCCAGCUACUGGUCAAGGGACCAUGUAACCUCUGCUUCCAUAAGCAACCAGCUAAGAAGACAAAGUCUUUCACACCUCUGGAUGUCUGCGUGGUUUCACACUUACAAUGGUUGAAAAACACUUACCAGCAGUAAACAGAGUUAGACUCCUUCACCUGUGGCAUGUGGAGAAAACUGGAGUACCCCUGGGGACAGCAGCAGCAGAAGUUGCUCAGCUCCAGCUCAGCUGUGGCUCUUCUGCUUGGUGCUGCAGAGGAUGGCCAAGCCUGUGGCUGUGGGUGUCUGGUGCUAUCUACAGCAGACCCAGGAGCGUUCAAAGUCUCCACAAGGGGAAACUGAGGCCCUAGGCACUGCAUGGUUCAAGUGUAGUUGUUAUUGCAUGCUGUUUUUGUGAGAUAGGCUGAGUUCAUGUCCAAAUCACGACAAUUCAAGCUGAAUUAAACACAAAUAAGUCAUCAUCUACUGCCAGAUACAUUCAGUGCAAAGACUUGCUAUUAAUUUGAGCCUGUGAAAAUCUUGGUGUGGGAGAGCUGUCUAGCAUUAUGUAAAAGAGAAUCUGAUUUCCCAAAUAACAUACAUCCACUGUAACCACCAGAUCAUCUUCCUGUAGUGCCCUAUCUAAAUCACUACAAUUUCCAGCUUCUCUAACAACAGCCUUACAAAUCACAGCUUCCUUCAAUACGCAGCUUUGACUCAUCUCCAAGCCAGGGUGAAAAAAUAGCAUGUGUUCUUGUGCAUAAAAAGCAUACAUGAUUCCCAGUCAACCUGAAUUAUUCUUCCCAAUUUGCAAAUGUUGCUUUUGUAGCCUUCAUAGAAUUCAGUUUUGGCACAUUUACAGAGAAAACUCCAAGGAUUUAAUCACAAAUAAACAGAAGAAAGAGAGCAGAUCUCACCACACAGUAUUGACGUGUUCUUUGAACUUUUUUUGUUGGUGAUUUACACAUAAUUGAUACUCCUUAGUCCCCAAUACUUGUGAUUUUUCCCCUAAAAAACACGUUAAUCUAGAAAACAUUGUAUAUUGUGAAGCUUUCUAGGCAGAAAUCACAUCUUUCCUUAUGUUUAGC
Molecule: long non-coding RNA, 4273 nt
Organism: Colius striatus (speckled mousebird)
Lineage: Eukaryota; Metazoa; Chordata; Aves; Coliiformes; Coliidae
Exons: 3
Source: RefSeq, a predicted model, not a curated record